GGAAUGAGGGCGAUCUGGCUGCGACAUCUGUCACCCCGUUGAUCGCCAGGGUUCAUUCUGCUGCUCUGGCUGGCGAGGCGGGUGUCCCCAUCCUCCCUCACCGCUCCACGUGCGUCCCUCCCGAAGCCGCGCGCUGGGUCGAAGAGGUUGACCUUCCCCGCCAGAGGAGGACCGGUCUUCGGUCAGGGGUAUACGAGCAGCUGCGCUCCCCUGCUAGAACCUCCAAACAAGCUCUCAAGGUCCAAAGAAGCCUUAUUUGACUUGCUAACAGCCCCAAGUCACACAGGCAGCGACACUGGUGAUUUGACUGCAGUG
This 315-nucleotide small nuclear RNA is filed under the name Oryctolagus cuniculus (rabbit). RNAcentral's name for it is "7SK RNA". It matches the Rfam family "7SK RNA". Rfam says of the family: 7SK was discovered as an abundant small nuclear RNA in the mid-70s but a possible function has only recently been suggested. Two independent studies have found that 7SK RNA binds the CDK9/cyclin T complex (known as elongation factor P-TEFb). Lineage: Eukaryota; Metazoa; Chordata; Mammalia; Lagomorpha; Leporidae. The record is from Rfam by way of RNAcentral.